This 331-nucleotide ribosomal RNA is filed under the name uncultured eukaryote. Its description in RNAcentral is "partial 18S ribosomal RNA". It matches the Rfam family "Eukaryotic small subunit ribosomal RNA", at positions 1470 to 1796 of the family's 1831-position model. The record is from RNAcentral.
CCCUUAGAUGUUCUGGGCCGCACGCGCGCUACACUGACGAAGUCAGCGAGCAUGUCCUACGCCGACAGGUGCGGGGAAUCUUGUCAAACUUCGUCGUGAUGGGGAUUGAUUAUUGAAAUUCUUGAUCAUCAACGAGGAAUUCCUAGUAAGCGCAAGUCAGCAGCUUGCGUUGAUUACGUCCCUGCCCUUUGUACACACCGCCCGUCGCUACUACCGAUUGAAUGGUUUAGUGAGAUCUUCGGAUUGGCGCCACUGCGGCUCAGCAAUGGGCUCGGUGGAUGCCGAAAAGUUGAUCAAACUUGAUCAUUUAGUGGAAGUAAAAGUCGUAACA